Long non-coding RNA from Dendroctonus ponderosae (mountain pine beetle), 954 nucleotides. RefSeq lists it as uncharacterized. The record is from RefSeq and is a predicted model, not a curated record. The transcript is spliced from 3 exons. NCBI's taxonomy places the organism in Eukaryota, Metazoa, Arthropoda, Insecta, Coleoptera, Curculionidae.
AUUAGUUUUACAUAUUUGAUAAUUCGGAAUGUGUUUUAUUUCAAGGUCUUUUCUGGGCGGUCAAGGAUAUUUAUAUCGAUAUGGGAAAAGUGCUCAUCUCAAAUAAUAACACCCCUAGAUUUAAGCGAGCUAAGUUUUACGGUUGGAAGACGCGGUUAUAAACGGAUUUCAAAUCAGAAAUGCUCGGGUCCAAGACGAAGAUAUUACCUGGAAAUACAUAAUAAAAUAGUCAACAAGUCAACUAAAUCGUUCUACUUGGAAAUAAAGCGCAACCAUUUUAACACAGAAAAACUGAAUAUAAAAAUAUUACAUAUUUGUUAGACGUUUGCAUAAAUCUUCUAUAAAUCGAGAACGACCGGAGAUAUAACGAUGUGGUUUUAUCUGAAAUCAGAAAACGCCUUCUAGUUGAUUUGUUUUAAAACCAAACGAUUUAACGAAAAAUGGCUUUUAAACACAUUAAAAUUAUCUUUCAAAGAAGCCCAAAAAUAGUGGAAUUCGUUAAGUGGUUCAGGAGAUAUUAAAAUGUAAGUAUUGAAAACUGCAAGGGCCUCUCACUCUUAUAUUAUAAACAAUACAAAAAAAAAUUGAAAGAAAUAAUCGAUGCGGUAUUACCCAAGCUCUCAAAUGACGUUUUGAUAGUUGUAGCUCAUCUAUCCCUUUUCCGAGAUACCUAGACUUUUUGGUUUUGUUGUAGAAGUCACGCCCCCUUGCGGUCGAGCUACGAACUGUAAUACAUUUUCCAGCUAUUUUUUAUGCCAAAUUAUUAUUACUUAUAAGGGUUUUUUCUCCAAACCGCUAGUCCUUAUCGUUGUCGAGACACAGCCGCUCUUUACCUUUAUCGGGACACUCUGCAUACAGGGUGAUUCAAAAUCGUCGUUAUACCUUUUAAGGGGUAAUAAGGGUUCACUUAUAGAGUACGGAAAAAAUAUUGAAAUUUUUUUCGGAAAAUUUCUA